RNAcentral lists this ribosomal RNA (470 nucleotides) under uncultured bacterium. RNAcentral describes it as "bacterial SSU rRNA". It matches the Rfam family "Bacterial small subunit ribosomal RNA", at positions 917 to 1382 of the family's 1533-position model. The record is from RNAcentral.
GGGCCCGCACAAGCGGUGGAGCAUGUGGUUCAAUUCGAUGCAGAGCGAAGAACCUUACCUGGGCUUGACAUGCAGGAAGUAGGAACCCGAAAGGGGGACGACCCGUUAAGUCGGGAGCCUGCACAGGUGGUGCAUGGCUGUCGUCAGCUCGUGCCGUGAGGUGUUGGGUUAAGUCCCGCAACGAGCGCAACCCUCACCCUAUGUUGCCAACGGUUCGGCCGGGCACUCUUAGGGAACUGCCGGCGAAGAGCUGGAGGAAGGGGGGGAUGACGUCAAGUCCGUAUGCCCCUUAUGUCCAGGGCUACACACAUGCUACAAUGGUCGGUACAGAGGGUUGCCAACCCGCAAGGGGGAGCCAAUCCCACAAAGCCGAUCUCAGUUCGGAUUGUAGGCUGCAACUCGCCUACAUGAAGUCGGAAUCGCUAGUAAGCGCAGAUCAGCAGGCUGCGCUGAAUACGUUCCCGGGCCUU